GUACUUCUGAGGAGUCCCAAAAUAGGACGAAACAGCUGUCCAGUGC
This 46-nucleotide non-coding RNA is filed under the name Schistosoma mattheei. Lineage: Eukaryota; Metazoa; Platyhelminthes; Trematoda; Strigeidida; Schistosomatidae. The record is from RNAcentral.